This 312-nucleotide ribosomal RNA is filed under the name uncultured Butyrivibrio sp. Its description in RNAcentral is "partial 16S ribosomal RNA". Lineage: Bacteria; Bacillati; Bacillota; Clostridia; Lachnospirales; Lachnospiraceae. The record is from RNAcentral.
GGAGUUUGGGCCGUGUCUCAGUCCCAAUGUGGCCGUUCACCCUCUCAGGCCGGCUACUGAUCGUCGCUUUGGUGGGCCGUUACCCCGCCAACUGGCUAAUCAGACGCGGAUCCAUCUCACACCGAUAAAUCUUUUACCACAACCCCAUGCGGGGUCGUGGUCUUAUGCGGUAUUACCAGCCGUUUCCAGCUGCUAUCCCCCUGUGUGAGGCAGGUUAUCCACGCGUUACUCACCCGUCCGCCACUCUCACCACGCGCAAGCGCGUGGAUCCCGUUCGACUUGCAUGCUUAAGACGCGCCGCCAGCGUUCGUU